ACAUUCCUACUGUGUCUCAGCAUCUGUUCUCCUGGGAAUACAACUGGUCCACCUGAACAUAUGAUCUGUGCUGCUGUUGGUGCACGAGGACAGGAGGGAAAUAAGCUGGAAGCCAUGGAUGUGGAGAGUCUGGCUUCAAGAUGGAGCUUGUUUACCUGCAGGGCCCCAUGCAGAACCUCAUGAGACGUGACUUCAGAGGCCUCCUCUCUGACAGGUGAGGGAGGCGUCAGCUCUUCAGAGAGAGAGGCUGCCUUGCCUGGGGACACACAGCUAGCCAGUGGCCGAAGCAGCAGUGGAUGCAGUUGUCCUGAUGCAUAGUUCAAGAACCUUUUUUUUUUUUUUCCACAUGUGAAAACAUCUAUUGGGGAAAUGGAAAAAACAUUUGACCUCACAUUCCUCAUACCUGACAUGUCUCCUUGUUCCCACCCCACUGACCACUGAAUUGCUGCUGGAAUUGCCAGGAACUUCCUGGUGUGGCAGAAGGAAGACUAAGAACCAGGAAGUGGCUGACAAGAAAGGGAGCUGCAUUCUGCAACUGGAGUUAGUAUUUGCUCUGACCUAACACUUUGGGUGAUU
RNAcentral lists this small RNA (576 nucleotides) under Pongo abelii (Sumatran orangutan). RNAcentral's name for it is "processed transcript". Lineage: Eukaryota; Metazoa; Chordata; Mammalia; Primates; Hominidae. The record is from RNAcentral.